UCAUCCCACCGAUACUCCUCAUCCCCUUCAGAGCUGCUUGACAGCUUCCUCUGUUUACGUCUCUUCAAGUAUUCCUCAUCAUAUACGGCUUCUCCAACUAUGUCAUCAUCACUGUCAAAGUCUGCAUCAUUAUCUGAGACUGCUUCAACAAACUCUUUUGCUGAAUACCGUUGAGGCCUCUGCCUUCGCCUAUUGCUUCGGUCCAAUAAUUCAGGUUUAUCCCCUUCAUCAAUGUCAUCAUAACCGGGUGAAUUGGGGGUUGUCAAACAGAAACUGCCUUGUUCAGAGGAAUGUGAAGGACCAGUCCAUUUACCAUUUGUUGAAGCUUCAGGUUUGAUAAUAACUUCUCUUCUGUAAAUAGGCUCUGGGGAUGGUGGUUUCCGCUUGGUUAUUUUAAUAGCCUCACUGAUUGACCGGUCAUAAUCAUCAAAAGUGUAAGUAACAGGUUUUCUGUCACGAAGCGAGCGUCCUGGUGAGAGUCCAUCCACACUCAAAAAGUUAUCAAGAAGUAGAGCCUGUCUAUGUUGCUUUUUCAGCAACCUUUCUUUCCUCUUAUGAACCUUCUCAAUCUCAGGAAGCAUGUCGUUCUUUAGCUUCUUCCCUAAUGAGGCCUCUGUUCUAUUUUUACUUGCAAAAAGCUUCUCAGAGACAUCUUGAAAUUCAUCAAAAUUAGUUGCA
Molecule: unclassified non-coding RNA, 678 nt
Filed under: Hevea brasiliensis (rubber tree)
Lineage: Eukaryota; Viridiplantae; Streptophyta; Magnoliopsida; Malpighiales; Euphorbiaceae
Source: RNAcentral